RNAcentral lists this ribosomal RNA (510 nucleotides) under uncultured bacterium. Its description in RNAcentral is "bacterial SSU rRNA". It matches the Rfam family "Bacterial small subunit ribosomal RNA", at positions 9 to 524 of the family's 1533-position model. The record is from RNAcentral.
GAGUUUGAUCUUGGCUCAGAGCGAACGCUGGCGGCGUGCUUAACACAUGCAAGUCGAACGAGGUUUGUAGCAAUACAAAUACUCGUGGCGAACGGGUGCGUAACACGUGGAUAACCUUCCUUCAGGUGGGGAAUAACCCAGUGAAAAUUGGGCUAAUACCGCAUAACAUCGCGAUGGCACAUGCUGUUGCGUUCAAAGCCGCAAGGCGCCAGUAGGAGGGAUCCGCGGCCGAUUAGCUUGUUGGCGAGGUAAUGGCUCACCAAGGCUUUGAUCGGUAUCCGGACUGAGAGGUUGGCCGGACACACUGGAACUGAGACACGGUCCAGACUCCUACGGGAGGCAGCAGUGGGGAAUCUUGCACAAUGGACGAAAGUCUGAUGCAGCAACGCCGCGUGGGGGAUGAAGCUUCUCGGAGUGUAAACCCCUUUCGACCUGGACGAAUGCCCGCAAGGGUUUGACGGUACAGGUAUAAGAAGCCCCGGCUAACUACGUGCCAGCCGCCGCUGUAAU